UACGUAGGGGGCGAGCGUUAUCCGGAUUUACUGGGCGUAAAGAGGGCGCGGGCGGCUCGGCAAGUCGGAUGUGAAAUUUCCCAGCUCAACUGGGAAGGGUCAUUCGAUACUGCCGGGCUAGAGGACAGCAGGGGGAGACGGAAUUCCCGGUGUAGUGGUGAAAUGCGUAGAUAUCGGGAGGAACACCAGUGGCGAAGGCGGUCUCCUGGGCUGUUACUGACGCUGAGGCCCAAAAGCGUGGGGAG
Molecule: ribosomal RNA, 245 nt
Filed under: uncultured Chloroflexota bacterium
Lineage: Bacteria; Bacillati; Chloroflexota
Description: uncultured Chloroflexi bacterium partial 16S ribosomal RNA
Rfam family: Bacterial small subunit ribosomal RNA
Source: RNAcentral